UUACCCAUAAGAAAUGUACAUUAAAUAUAAAAGUGCAAGUAAUUUUAGUGGCUUUGCUUAUGGGAUAGAUAAAAUGGCCACAAUCUGAAGAAAGAGGGUCCUUUAGUGUCUUCCUCCCAUAUGAAAUGGCUGAACAGAAUUUU
Molecule: small nucleolar RNA, 143 nt
Organism: Cavia porcellus (domestic guinea pig)
Lineage: Eukaryota; Metazoa; Chordata; Mammalia; Rodentia; Caviidae
Product: small nucleolar RNA SNORA29
Source: Ensembl